Scomber scombrus (Atlantic mackerel) is the source of this 257-nucleotide long non-coding RNA. RefSeq lists it as uncharacterized. The record is from RefSeq and is a predicted model, not a curated record. The transcript has 3 exons. Lineage: Eukaryota; Metazoa; Chordata; Actinopteri; Scombriformes; Scombridae.
CUCUGAUGUGGGAACAUCACCAGAGAGCUGGUUGGCUGUCAGAGAUGCUCUUGAGGGAGCUCCCCUGAUGUCUGUCUACACACUGAUAAGACUUGUAGUCGCUGGGAUUCUUUACCUGCUGUCCACCAUCAUACUUGGACUCAUAUACAGAGACAAGAGAAGAGCACGUCAGCUUGUUGCAAAGGACAGGAGCCAAGAUGUCGUCAUGGAGGUCGAAUAGACCGCAAACAGAUGUGACAUUAACAUUCUUAUACAUG